UGCCAAUUCUGAGACCAGAUCGUGUGUGCCACUGCUCAGGCAGCAUCCAUGUGUCACCUGGAAGGGUUGUGGCAGUCACAACUAUAAAUGGUAAGACAUCUUGUCACAUUACACAGUGAAAUCCUAUGGAAUUAUUCUAUAAGAAUGCAUUACUCUGGAUUGCUCAUCUGCUUACUUAUUACAGUGUAACUGCCUGAUUUCAAGUGUUGUUGAUGAUGAUGAUGAUGAUGAUGAUGAUGACAAAAAAAAUAACAAUAACGUCUUAGCACCCAAGGUCGCUUAAAAAAGGUGGGGUAGUGUGACGGCGGGGUGAAUGAAGGACUGGAAACAAUAGCGAGUUAUACAAUUUAAUGAAAAUAAACAAACAAACAGGAAUGAGACAAUGAUGCUGGGAAGACGACAAUCCAAGAUGGUGGUGAGGUGGUGAGGAAUCCGGAUGAUGACGGUGAGAAGGCAGCAGGAGAGGAUGGCACAGGAACUGCGGGGAAUAGAGCCGAAGGUAAGUCUUUGUGGCAGAGUGAUAGUGCGGAGAGUGGAUGAGGUUCCGGGGAAACAAGAACAUCCAAACGCAGACAACACUGAAGCCAACAGACAGGGGAAACGACAUUAAACAACGAUCUCACAAACACAAGACGUAAGACAAGCCAUUAUAUAGAGAAUAAUUAAUGAGUGCCAGCUGUUGCUGAUGACAAUUAACGGAGACGCCCACAAACUAAUCAGUGCAGACGCGAAACACACCGACUUCACCACAAAGUGCAAAACCCAGAGAUCACGGUUUACCAGCCGUGACAGGUAGGGGAGGAGGAUUAAAGGCCAAUGGCAUCAGUGAAUAGGUGUGCUUUAAGGUGUUUUUGAACAUGCCCAGACAGGGAGCACUACGUUUGUGUAGUGGGAGGUUAUUCCAUGGAGUGGGACCAGCAAUACAAAAGGCUCUAUCCCCAAAGGUCCGCAGUCUGGUACGAUGGAUGGCAAGCUGGUCAUUUUCAGAGGAUCACAGGGGCCGUGACUGGAUUUGGGGGUGAUGGAGACCAGUAAGAUACUGGGGUGCAAGUGUAUGGAGGGAUUUAUAGGUGAGUAGGAGGAUUUUAAAGGUAAUGUGGGAUUGGCAGCCAGUGAAGUUGCAUGACGAUGGAUGGGUGUGAUAUGCUGCUAAGGUUUUGUGCAUGUUAGGAUCCUGGCAGUUGAAUUCUGGACUGUCCAGGGCUUUGCUGGGCAGAGCAGAUAGGACAUCAUUGCAAUAUAGGCCAGACAGGAGCUGAUGAAAGAGUAGAUGUGAAUUUCAGUUUCAGAGUGCUCUUGAGAGGUUUUUUAGGUGGUAGAAGGCAGAUUUGGGUGAUGUUUUUGUUAUGUGACUGGACUGAGAGGGUGGGGUCACCGAUGACGCCCAGGUAUUCCAACUUCUGGGGACUUACUGCCUGGUUUUAGGUGCAAGUAUCAUCCAAACAGCAUCCUGUUUUGUAUUAACACAGUUGUUUAGUUGUAAUUAUAUUAUUGGAAUCGUGAAAUCCAUGAUGAUUACAUAAACAGGCAGUCUUUUGUAGCAGUCUUCUCUCCACUGGAAUGUUGGUGUUUCAAUUUGUAAUCACAGCAUAAUUGAGUAGCCUUAACAAUGCAAAUAGAAACUGAAUCAGUCUUCAUUCAGAACAUUGACCAAUUACACUUCACGAACAGUUUAUUACAACCAAAGAAGUAUUGCCUUAUUCUGGUGAGGUAAAUUAAGUCCAUUAUUUGAGGAAAUGCAGUAUUACUUUAUUUGGAUUCAUGCUCCGUACAGGUCGCUACAACCUUUCAAUGCCAGUGGUGAGUUGCACAAGCUGUUGUGUCACAUGGUCCCCCUUCAUCAAGGACAUCCAGCGUGAUGGAUACUGGCCAAGCAGUGGCACCACAAACUUCUGCACACUAUAUGCCACUGAUAUCUUUCAGUCAUUUUAUGACUUGAAGAUGGCAGCACCAGGGGUCUCUCUGAAGUGCUUGAUGCAAGGACAGUGCGUUUCGGAAGAACUGGCAAGAUAUCACCAGACACAUUUUACAAAAGCUUCUCGGAAUGGGUAGCUUUAAAAUAUGAAGUAAAAAAGCUGUGUAUGAAGAUGUUCUUCAAUUGCCCCGCCUGCAGUCCAGAGAUGCUUGCAGUAUCAGUGGAUGGUAAUCACAAGCUUUAUCGCUUCAAAUCAAAUUCAAGCACUCCAGAGCCAGGACACUUUGAUGAGUUUGUUCAAUACAUCCACACACAAACAAAACAUGUAAGUUCAAAUAUUUGUUUUUGUCUCAUUGCCGACGUUAAUUGCUGGCACUACAUUGUUCAUUAAUAUUUGCUGUUAACUAACACUGUAACAUCACUGGCAGUAUUGAGAGGAAGGAGGCUUUAACUUCCCCAAUUUACACGCAUGCCUUUCCUUGCUUUGCUUUAUUAUAUCAAAGGCUGUAAAUAAUACAACUGCCAAAUUGUGAUGCCAGAGAAGAGUUGUUGACAGUCAUAUGCCUUAGAGGGCUUCAUAAAUCGUGCCAUGCUAUUACAAUUCUUGUAUAGGCCUCUGGAAAGGGCUCAUGUGGUUCUUCAACAUGGACAGCAGCUAAGGAUGAGGAGGGACUGGAAAUAGCUGUCUGCUGCCAUGGGGUCCUCCUUGGGUCACUGAAUAUGUUUAGAGGGGAGAUUUUUGCGUACCCUCUCUUCCUCCAGAGGGAGUUAACAGAAAGUGCCCCAGGAACAAUCUCAUUCCUGUGUUCAGAUGUAGCCUGUAAAUUUUUUCCUUAUUUGGUGGUGGUUCAGCAGUGUCCUGAGCUCAGGAAUCUGCUGUCAAUGUGCCCCUUUCUUUCAAUUAUGCAUGCCAAGGCACACUCUGGGAAAUGCAAGGUACAUUUCAGCUUUACUGACUAAUUUAGUAGGUGUACAAUAGUUCAUUUAUAAACAACUUCUAAUGUAUUAACUUAUAAGAUCAAAUAGGGAGGCGCGUUCCAGGAAGGUGCGGGUUCAACUAUCGGAGAAGAGGUGGAACAGGUAAACAGUUUCCUGUCCAGGGCAGCUGUUAUCACUAAGUACAUGACUAAAGCAGGUAUGUGGGAGUGGCUAGAUAUAUGUGUGUCUGUGUACUGUUCGUAAGUACAAUGGAAUAGUUUCUUUUCAGAAAAAAGCUGGAAAGAUGAUCUGUAAUCUGCUUUUCUUGAAAUCAGGAUGAAAAGACAUGCUUACCCUCUUGGCUUUAGGGUGGAAUGAAAGGAAGCUGGAAAACCUGAGUCACACUUUAAGCCAGAGAUACUUAAAGGUUAAUUUUUCAACAAUUUUAUUGUCAUAAUGAACUCAAACAACAUUCAUACAAAUGGGACUGAUUGAUUGUUUUAGUAGUGGUAGUAGUAGUAGUUGUUGUUGUUGUUGUUGUUGUUUUUACUAAUAUUAGACUGUAAGGAUACUCAAGAACAUCAGGACAACCUGAAUGCUGCAAAAAAGGAGCUUGGCAUUGAUGAUGACACUGUGCAGCUGUGGGUGGCUGAUGUGCAGAAGUGGGCAAGAGGAAACUGAUCAAAGUGAUGGUAGCCUUGGUGCAAUACAGGCAUGGAUAGAGGAGCUGGCUGUCCUCGUCAAAGUACGCAGCCUAAACCUUUUCAAACAAACAGAUAGCAACAAGAGGCGACAUAAGAUACAAAAAGUUAUUUUAAAUGACAAAAAAAUGCCUGGCAGCAGCUGUUGCCGAGUACAAUCAUCUGGCUGAACCGUGGGACAAGUGGCCUUGGCAAAGUGAAAACCUUCACACCAAAAGGAAGGUAUUUGAUAAGUUUAUGGCUGUGCAAUGCCUGAAGGAGGAAGAAGUAAUCCUCUGUAAGGAAAUGCUGCAACACUGGACAACACUAAAGCAAAUACUUGACACUGGGAGCCCUUUCUUCAAACUCCUCUCUUGUUGACUUCUCUGAGGAUGCACAAAAAGGACUGCAGUGUCUGGUUCAUCAGAGGCUCAGCAAACUGAAAGCAGAAAUGCUUUUAGUCAACAGCCAAAACAAAACUAUCCUGAAUGAUAACUCACACCUGGAGAUGGAGUUGGAAGAAGAAGACAUAGAACUUGAUGCUAUAGACUCUGAUUUCAGCUGUUCUGAUGAGGACUUCUGAUGAGGACUGUUGUUGUGGUGGCGGGUGUUGUGGUUGUUGACGUGUUGAUGGAUGUGGUUACUGUAGUUGAGAUUGUUGUUGUAUUAUGGUGCUUGUACCCUUGGGUUCUGCAACUUUGCCUGGGGUUUUGUUGUGUACAAUGUUGAAAGGGUUUCUAUGGCUUUGGAUCGAGGUGUCAUAGAAAAUCAAUAAUCAUUGUGUGUUAAUGUGUUAAAUAAUCGAGAUAUCAAACCUCAAACAUAGCUAAUUCCUCAUCUGUCCAUAAAAGAUUGUGUCCAUAAUACAGACAGUCAAAUGUUGUGUGUAAGUUGUGUAUUUACAAGUUGCAUGAUAUGGGUGUCGGACAGCUUUAUAUGUUUCCAGUCUUAUCUUAGGUGUGUUUAUUUUUUUAUUAUUUUUUUUUUAUUUGACAUUGCCCCCCACCUCCCACAUACAGGUAUGUCCCCCCUCACACACACACACACACACACACACACACCCACCUCCCACAUACAGGUAUGUCCCCGCACACAGACACACACACACACACACACACUCAUACUCACACUCACACACACACACUCACACACAAACACACACACCCACACACACUCACGCACACGCACACACACACACACACACAAAUUACUCUCACACACCAUAACAUCAUAACCACCAAAUACACACAAACCAUUGUAACAUUCAAGAUCUUCUGGAAUGACAAUAAAGCAUUUUUUU
This is a long non-coding RNA of Cyprinus carpio (common carp), 4813 nucleotides long. RefSeq lists it as uncharacterized. The transcript is spliced from 7 exons. NCBI's taxonomy places the organism in Eukaryota, Metazoa, Chordata, Actinopteri, Cypriniformes, Cyprinidae. The record is from RefSeq and is a predicted model, not a curated record.